Molecule: ribosomal RNA, 481 nt
Filed under: uncultured bacterium
Lineage: Bacteria
Description: partial 16S ribosomal RNA
Rfam family: Bacterial small subunit ribosomal RNA
Source: RNAcentral
GACGAACGUUGGCGGCGUGCUUAAUACAUGCAGGUCAACUGAAGCAGUGGUAGCAAUAUCGCUGUGGAGGUGGCGCACGGGUGAGUAACACGUAGGUAAUCUGCCUUCAGGUCUGGCAUAACUCCGGGAAACCGGGGCUAAUAGCAGAUGAUGCAGCGGCUCGACAUCGAGACAGUUGUUAAAGCUAUGGCGCCUGAAGAUGAGCCUGCGUCUGAUUAGCUAGUUGGCGGGGUAACGGCCCACCAAGGCAACGAUCAGUAGCUGGUCUGAGAGGAUGAUCAGCCACACUGGAACGGAGACACGGUCCAGACUCCUACGGGAGGCAGCAGUAAGGAAUAUUGCUCAAUGGGAGAAAUCCUGGAGCAGCAACGCCGCGUGAGGGACGAAGGGCUUUUGCUUGUAAACCUCUGUAGUGAGAGAAAAAAAUCCCAAUCUUUGGGACAUGAUGGUAUCUCAAAAGUAAGCCCCGGCUAACUACGUG